RNAcentral lists this ribosomal RNA (535 nucleotides) under Geronticus calvus (southern bald ibis). RNAcentral describes it as "partial 16S ribosomal RNA". It matches the Rfam family "Bacterial large subunit ribosomal RNA", at positions 1834 to 2582 of the family's 2925-position model. The record is from RNAcentral. Lineage: Eukaryota; Metazoa; Chordata; Aves; Pelecaniformes; Threskiornithidae.
GCAGUCCAAGUAUUGAGGGUGAUGCCUGCCCAGUGACACUGUUUAACGGCCGCGGUAUCCUAACCGUGCGAAGGUAGCGCAAUCAAUUGUCCCAUAAAUCGAGACUUGUAUGAAUGGCUAAACGAGGUCCUAACUGUCUCUUACAGACAAUCAGUGAAAUUGAUCUCCCUGUGCAAAAGCAGGAAUGUACACAUAAGACGAGAAGACCCUGUGGAACUUAAAAAUCAACGGCCACUGCACACAAUAUCAAACCUAUCAGGCUUACCAUAAUUAAAACAUUGGCUCGCAUUUUUUGGUUGGGGCGACCUUGGAGAAAAACAGACCCUCCAAAAAUAAGACCACCCGUCUUAACCAAGAGCAACACCUCGACGUACUAACAGUAACCAGACCCAAUAUAAUUGAUCAAUGAACCAAGCUACCCCAGGGAUAACAGCGCAAUCUCCUUCAAGAGCCCAUAUCGACAAGGAGGUUUACGACCUCGAUGUUGGAUCAGGACACCCUAAUGGUGCAGCCGCUAUUAAGGGUUCGUUUGUUC